Molecule: ribosomal RNA, 464 nt
Filed under: uncultured bacterium
Lineage: Bacteria
Description: partial 16S ribosomal RNA
Rfam family: Bacterial small subunit ribosomal RNA
Source: RNAcentral
CUACGGGGUCACCAGUGGGGAAUAUUGGACAAUGGGGGAAACCCUGAUCCAGCAAUGCCGCGUGUGUGAAGAAGGCCUGCGGGUUGUAAAGCACUUUCGGUUGGGAGGACUGCUUCUAGCACUAAUAUUGUUGGAAGUUGACGUUACCUUCAGAAGAAGCACCGGCUAACUCCGUGCCAGCAGCCGCGGUAAUACGGAGGGUGCAAGCGUUGAUCGGAAUUACUGGGCGUAAAGCGCGCGGAGGCGGCUAGAUCAGUCGGGGGUGAAAGCCCCGGGCUUAACCUGGGCACUGCAUCCGAUACUGUCUAGCUUGAGUACAGGAGAGGAGAGUGGAAUUCCACAUGUAGCGGUGAAAUGCGUAGAUAUGUGGAGGAACACCAAUGGCGAAGGCAGCUCUCUGGCCUGAUACUGACGCUGAGGUGCGAAAGCGUGGGGAGCAAACAGGAUUAGAUACCCCCGUAGUC